ACGACUUUGUAAUAAUGUGCAACAAUAUCUAUCAUUAUAAUCAUCCAAUAAUAAUUAAAAGUCAAAAAGUCAAAAAAAACUUAGUAGUAACGUGUUUCUAGGAUAAAAUUACAAAUUGAAUUCUAAAAUAACACUGUCUAGUAAUCACCUUUUUCCCGCUAAAAUAUAAAAAUCAUACAUAAAGUGAAAUUAAAGACUUUACAAAGAGAAAAAAUCUACAAUUGAGCAAUCUUGACAAAAAAAAAAGGACAAAAAAAAAGUUACAAUACAUUAGUAAACGGAAUGAUAUGAGAAAGGUUAAAGAAUCCAGAGCACCAUUAGCGCACGCCAAUGCCUUCUAAGCCUUCUCGAAGAGAUGAAGUUUCACAGGUCACGAUCCACCAUUUUGAAA
This 391-nucleotide small RNA is filed under the name Arabidopsis thaliana (thale cress). RNAcentral's name for it is "ATSL108840". Lineage: Eukaryota; Viridiplantae; Streptophyta; Magnoliopsida; Brassicales; Brassicaceae. The record is from RNAcentral.